Molecule: transfer RNA, 50 nt
Filed under: Tetranychus pueraricola
Lineage: Eukaryota; Metazoa; Arthropoda; Arachnida; Trombidiformes; Tetranychidae
Description: tRNA-Arg
Source: RNAcentral
AUUUGAUAAAUAAAAUUUUGAUUUCGAAUCAAAAAUGAAUUAAUCAAUAA